AUAAAUAAGCGGAGGAAAAGAAACCAAACGGGAUUCCCCUAGUAACGGCGAGCGAAAAGGGAAUUGUCCAGCGCCAAGUCUUGACAUCUAUGGUGUUCAAGAGAUGCGGCGUUAAUGUAUCGACGCAUCAUGCAYUGUUCUUUGUUUCAAGUUCCUACGACCGGGACUUCCAGAGCGGGUGUAAGACCCAUAGAGACGAGGAACCAGUGUAUGCUGAACGAUGCAUUCUAGAGUCAGGUUGCUUGAGAGUGCAGCUUAAAGUCGGUGGUAAACUCCAUCCAAGACUAAAUACUACAGCGAGACCGAUAGCAAACAAGUACCGUGAGGGAAAGUUGCAAAGCACUUUGAAGAGAGAGUUCAAAAGUACGUGAAACCACUGGGAGGCAAACAGAUGGAACCACGAAGUUGCGCUUCGGUCGAUUCAAUCAUCACUAUUGAUUAAUUUUUCAAGAUUUGGAUCUUUUCGGAGGUUAAUCUUGAAAGAUAAAGAUUGAUGGUGAUGGUGCAUUUCGUGCCGAAGAUGCUAAGCCACGUUCAACUAGAGUUGGGACAGCUGUAAGAUGGAAUUUGAGAAAGGUACCCAUUGGUUGCUUGCAUCCAAUGGCGUUAUAGUCUCGAAUUGGCACUGUCGCCUARCAUACUGGUUGAURCAAUUUCUCCAUUUGGAGUCUAACCAUGUCUGCCUACGGCUGCUAGUCGAUGUUCCGUGGUGUUCUUUGUGUAUCUUUCGAUGCAAAAAGACGCCACAAAGAUGUCGGCUAGUAAUCGUUUGCGUGAYAUGGUGGAACUGUGGCGCGAGUAGGUCGGUCUCCAUCUGACCCGUCUUGAAACACGGACCAAGGAGCCUAUCAUAUACGCGAGUCGCUCGGUCUUGUUUAGGCCCGGGAGGCGGAAUGAAAGUAAAGUUACGAGACUUUGGUCGCAGUAACGGCCCGCCCACUUCGUUUAUUGGCGAUCUGGCGGAGCUGGAGCGUAUACGAUGGUACCCGAAAGAUGGUGAACUAUGCCUGGGCAAGACGAAGCCAGAGGAAACUCUGGUGGAGGUCUGUAGCGAUUCUGACGUGCAAAUCGAUCGUCAGACCUGGGUAUAGGGGCGAAAGACUAAUCGAACCAUCUAGUAGCUGGUUCCCUCCGAAGUUUCCCUCAGGAUAGCAGGCGUUUAUUUUUACACAGUCUCAUCCGGUAAAGCUAAUGAUUAGAGGUCUUGGGGUUGAAACGACCUCAACCUAUUCUCAAACUUUAAAUGGGUGAGAUGGUUGACUUUCUUGAUUGAAGCCAACCAUUUGGAUGCAAAUGCCUAGUGGGCCAUUUUUGGUAAGCAGAACUGGCGCUGUGGGAUGAACCAAACGUCGAGAUAAGGCAUCAAAUGCGUACGCUCAUCAGACCCCAUGAAAGGUGUUGGUUGCUAUAGACAGCAGGACGGUGGCCAUGGAAGUCGGAAUCCGCUAAGGAGUGUGUAACAACUCACCUGCCGAAGCAACUAGCCCUGAAAAUGGACGAUGCUGUAGCGUGGAGCCGAUACUCGACCGUUGUAGUGAAUUUUGAGAUUAAGAUAUUACAACGAGUAGGAGGGCCGCAGUGUUAGCGUUGAAGGUGUCCGGCGUGAGCCGGCCUGGAGCUAUCAUUGUU
RNAcentral lists this ribosomal RNA (1629 nucleotides) under Proctophyllodes vitzthumi. RNAcentral's name for it is "eukaryotic LSU rRNA". It matches the Rfam family "Eukaryotic large subunit ribosomal RNA", at positions 42 to 1443 of the family's 3401-position model. Lineage: Eukaryota; Metazoa; Arthropoda; Arachnida; Sarcoptiformes; Proctophyllodidae. The record is from RNAcentral.